Molecule: non-coding RNA, 2728 nt
Organism: Triticum urartu
Lineage: Eukaryota; Viridiplantae; Streptophyta; Magnoliopsida; Poales; Poaceae
Source: RefSeq, a predicted model, not a curated record
UGAUGAUCGCCUCUUCAGCAAAGCAUAUUCCGCUUCCCACCCCGCAUUUCGCCAAGCCCAAGCGCCACCGCCGCUCAGGCCCAGCCCGCAUGGACCCCACCGACCAGUCGCCGGAGGAGGUGUACUCCGUGUGGGCCCUCCCGCCGGAGCCCGUCCGCGACCGCCUCCGCGGCCUCAUGGCCGGCCUCCGCGCCGCGCACGGCGGCCCGCCCUUCGAGCCGCACGCCACCGUCGUCGGCGCCGUGCGCAUGCGCCGCCCCGCCGCAAUCCAGGCCCUCCGCGCCGCCGCCGCCGCCGCCGGCGUCGCCCCCUACACCGCCCGCGUCACCGGCGUCGCCCGCGGCGACUUCUUCUACCAGUGCGUCUACCUCCUCCUCGAGCCCACCCCCGAGGUGAUCCAGACAAGCGACCACUUCUGCGCCCACUUCGGGUUUCAGAGAUCAACCCCAUAUAUGCCACAUGUAAGUCUCCUGUAUGGGGAUCUAACAGACGAAGAGAAGGAAGCAGCAAGGAAGAAAGUAGAGGAAAUGGACAGUGAAAUUUCUGGACUGCAGUUUGAGAUCUCCGAGCUCGCACUUUAUCGAACGGAUACUGAGGAUAAAAGCUUGGAGUCCUGGGAACUGGUGGAGGUAUGCCACCUUGGGAAGAAGUGAUCGGUUCCUCCCGAUGAUAUGCUUCUGCUAUGGUCUUAGCUCAGCACCUGCCAGGACUAGCCUAUUGUUGUAAGCUAUCCUGAGUGGAACAGUUGAUGUAAAUGGAUCAAGCACAUCUUGUAGAACAUGGGCCACAACCAAUGGAUCCGCUGCCGACAUAUACUGGAGGACUACCAGUUAACAGCCUUAGCCUUUGUCUAUUAUUGUGCCUAGCUCUCUACAGACCUGAAACAAAUUGUGUCUAUGUAUGACCUACUUGCACGAACUACUUGUAUUGUGCGAUGAGGGUUGUCUUAUUCACCUUUCAAAAGUUUUGAUACUAGCGUCAUGUUGUGCGUCACCUGUACGUAAUGUCAUUGAUAUUUGUCGAUUAGAUCCUGUACUUUAUGGAGUGGUCGGGCCGUAGAUAUUUUGACAUGCAUGCUAAAGCCAUCCUAUUAUUAGCAUGGCUGUGGUAUACUGGGACGAGCUUGUGAAUUGUAAACGAUAGUUAGCGCAUUCCUUUGGUCACAACCUCUUUGGAGAUAAUGGGUACCAUAUUUCUGAACCUAACAAUGUAGUGACGCUGAACAUGUAGGUGUACUUAACAUGCUUAGGUUCUUCAUUUCAACUGCAUGCUUACUGGUAUUAAGUACUUUCCCUUGUAUUUUUUUUAGAUAUCUGCUGACAUUGUUUUCUUGUUGGCAUGUAAUGCAUUUGCACAGCAUUAAAAGAUUUUUUCCCUUCUGAAAACUCAUAUUCCUUAUAGCUUAGGGUCAUUAUUUUAUUCAAAAUCAGGGAUAACAUAAAAUGGACUAGUAGGAAUGGAAAACAUAUGCUUGCAACCCACUUAAUUGCACUCAGGCCAGGAGCCUGCUCAUGUCACUGUUGUUUACAAAGUGAAUUUUUUCUACUGUGACCUGCCAAGUUGCAGCAAUACUCUAUGUUGGAACAGGGCCAUCACUCUUCUACUUAUUGCCGAAAAAAUGAGCUGCAUGCAUCUUCUUGAAGCCACUGUUAUGUUCUGUGCAACUUUUAGCAAAGAUCUAAGGGAUUACAGAAAUGGACUGGUAGGAACAGGAAAACAUAUGCUUGCAACCCACUUAAUUGCACUCAGGGGAUAGAGCCUUGUCACGGCAAUAUUGUUUACAGGGUGAAUUGUUUCUGCUGGGUCCUGCCAAGUUGCGGCGAUACUCUAUAUUGGAACAGGGCCACCACUCUUUUGAUAUCGACAAAAAGGUCGAGCAGGCGUGCCCUGGAAAGCUCCUCCUCCUAGCUUAGGCUUUACUUCCAGUUUGGCACGUAAAGGAUGCUGGUAUUUUCUGUUAGUUCGUCAUCUCAAUGAUAUAGGUAUCCUGCUGUCGCCGUCGUUUGACAAAAAGAGAAGAAAAUAUGGAUGCCCUAUAUCAGAAUGAUCAUCAGUUUCUCCCGAUCGACGGAGGCCUCAAAACUGAAGAUGAUCCUUCCAGCGCACUCUGUUUUCAGAUGUAUACUAUCCACAGAAGGGGGUAUCGGAGGGGUGCUGGUGCAUUAUUGGUUGUUCUCCCCUAUCCACGCACGUACAUGGAAAUGGAAUAAAGGCGGCGUCAGGGAUUCAUCUAGUAAGUCCCCGUCCCCUGAUUCUUGAUGCGGAUAUGACGACGUUGAGCCGCUGCCACUCGCCGGAUGGUCGGCGGAGGGGGCGUGCUGACGGCGACGCCCGGACUUUGACAGCUUUGUCUUCUCCCCUAAUUUUCUUUUUAUGAUCAGUAGAGUAAGUAUUUUUUUUAUGAUCUUUUUUUAGAAGAAGUAAUUUUUCUUUGAGAACAGAAGUAAUUUUUGUGAUCAGUAGAGAGUAACAAAGAACAGUCCAGGAGUGGGUGGGCUGUUGGCGGCCCCCUGUGUGGGCCGUGGCAAUGCUAGUAGUGAGUGUCUGGGCUUAGCCCAGCGUAAGCCGCACCGUGGGCCUUGCAGAAAAUAUUACGCGGGCCAUCUUGUUAUUUUCGUACUACGUCUCCUAGAAAAUGUGGUCCCGUAACGCUGGGACUUAAUAGUUCUGUCUGUACCCUAAAAUAAAGAUUAUGCUAAAAAAAUGGGAAAUGAUUGGUUUCUGCCGA